GGCGGACGGGUGAGUAACGCGUAAGAACUUGCCCUUUAGACUGGGAUAACAGAGGGAAACUUCUGAUAAUACUGGAUAAGUUGGUAUAUCGCAUGAUAUGCAAAUGAAAGCUACGGCACUAAAGGAGAGCUUUGCGUCCUAUUAGCUAGUUGGUAAGGUAAGAGCUUACCAAGGCGAUGAUAGGUAGCCGGCCUGAGAGGGUGGACGGCCACAAGGGGACUGAGAUACGGCCCUUACUCCUACGGGAGGCAGCAGAC
RNAcentral lists this ribosomal RNA (257 nucleotides) under uncultured Leptotrichia sp. Its description in RNAcentral is "partial 16S ribosomal RNA". It matches the Rfam family "Bacterial small subunit ribosomal RNA", at positions 97 to 354 of the family's 1533-position model. The record is from RNAcentral. Lineage: Bacteria; Fusobacteriati; Fusobacteriota; Fusobacteriia; Fusobacteriales; Leptotrichiaceae.